GAUGAACGCUAGCGGCAGGCUUAACACAUGCAAGUCGAGGGGUAGAGUUAGCUUGCUAACUUGAGACCGGCGCACGGGUGCGUAACGCGUAUGCAAUCUACCUUGUACAGAGGGAUAGCCCAGAGCACUUUGGAUUAAUACCUCAUAGUAUUAUUGAAUGGCAUCAUUUGAUUAUUAAAGUUCCAACGGUACAAGAUGAGAAUGCGUCCCAUUAGCUAGAUGGUAAGGUAACGGCUUACCAUGGCAACGAUGGGUAGGGGUCCUGAGAGGGAGAUCCCCCACACUGUGACUGAGACACGGACCCGACUCCUACGGGAGGCAGCAGUGAGGAAUAUUGGUCAAUGGGCGCAAGCCUGAACCAGCCAUGCCGCGUGCAGGAAGACAGUCCUAUGGAUUGUAAACUGCUUUUAUACGGGAAGAAACCCUGCUACGUGUAGCAGCUUGACGGUACCGUAAGAAUAAGCAUCGGCUAACUCCGUGCCAGCCGCCGCCGUAA
Molecule: ribosomal RNA, 496 nt
Filed under: uncultured bacterium
Lineage: Bacteria
Description: partial 16S ribosomal RNA
Rfam family: Bacterial small subunit ribosomal RNA
Source: RNAcentral